CGACCAACAAGCUUAAGCUUGGUAUUGGAUGUCACACAAUUAGUGCAUCUUAAAAUUAGUGGCGGUGCCAUUCAGCUUCAAGCGCAGUAAAUUUCUCGCUUCUGGAGUUUGCAUGUUAUACUCGCCAGAACCCCUAAAAUUAUCAAG
RNAcentral lists this unclassified non-coding RNA (147 nucleotides) under uncultured Ascomycota. RNAcentral's name for it is "sequence contains ITS2". Lineage: Eukaryota; Fungi; Ascomycota. The record is from RNAcentral.